CAACCCUUAUCCUUUGUUGCCAGCGGUUAGGCCGGGAACUCAAAGGAGACUGCCAGUGAUAAACUGGAGGAAGGUGGGGAUGACGUCAAGUCAUCAUGGCCCUUACGACCAGGGCUACACACGUGCUACAAUGGCGCAUACAAAGAGAAGCGACCUCGCGAGAGCAAGCGGACCUCAUAAAGUGCGUCGUAGUCCGGAUUGGAGUCUGCAACUCGACUCCAUGAAGUCGGAAUCGCUAGUAAUCGUGGAUCAGAAUGCCACGGUGAAUACGUUCCCGGGCCUUGUACACACCGCCCGUCACACCAUGGGAGUGGGUUGCAAAAGAAGUAGGUAGCUUAACCUUCGGGAGGGCGCUUACCACUUUGUGAUUCAUGACUGGGGUGAAGUCGUAACAAGGUAACCGUAGGGGAACCUGCGGUUGGA
RNAcentral lists this ribosomal RNA (423 nucleotides) under Salmonella enterica. Its description in RNAcentral is "bacterial SSU rRNA". It matches the Rfam family "Bacterial small subunit ribosomal RNA", at positions 1099 to 1522 of the family's 1533-position model. The record is from RNAcentral. Lineage: Bacteria; Pseudomonadati; Pseudomonadota; Gammaproteobacteria; Enterobacterales; Enterobacteriaceae. RNAcentral also lists the same sequence under 2 other names.